RNAcentral lists this ribosomal RNA (484 nucleotides) under uncultured bacterium. RNAcentral's name for it is "partial 16S ribosomal RNA". It matches the Rfam family "Bacterial small subunit ribosomal RNA", at positions 30 to 507 of the family's 1533-position model. The record is from RNAcentral.
AUUGAACGCUGGCGGCAGGCCUAACACAUGCAAGUCGAGCGGAUGAAGGGAGCUUGCUCCUGGCUUCAGCGGCGGACGGGUGAGUAAUGCCUAGGAAUCUGCCUGGCAGUGGGGGAUAACAUCCGGAAACGGGCGCUAAUACCGCAUACGUCCUGAUGGAGAAAGUGGGGGAUCUUUGGACCUCACGCUAUUAGCUGAGCCUAGGUCGGAUUAGCUAGUUGGUGGGGUAAAUGCCUACCAAGGCGACGAUCCGUAACUGGUCUGAGAGGAUGAUCAGUCACACUGGAACUGAGACACGGUCCAGACUCCUACGGGAGGCAGCAGUGGGGAAUAUUGGACAAUGGGCGAAAGCCUGAUCCAGCCAUGCCGCGUGUGUGAAGAAGGUCUUCGGAUCGUAAAGCACUUUAAGUUGGGAGGAAGAGCAGUAAGUUAAUACCUUGCUGUUUUGACGUUACCAACAGAAUAAGCACCGGCUAACUUCGUG